GGAGUGACUGUUUCAAUGAAACUAAAAAGAAAUUUCUUAAGAGGUGUAAAUUCCUUUAAUCUAUACAAUAGACGAGAAGACCCUAAGAAUUAUAUAUUAAUAUUAUAAAUUUAUAAAAUUUUUGUUGGGGCAACAGAUUUGGUUAAAUCAAUAACUUUUAAAUUUGCAUAUUGAGUAUAUUUAAUAAGAAUUUAAUUACCUUAGGGAUAACAGCAUUAUUAAUAUAUUAGAUUGUGACCUCGAUGUUGGACUAGGGACUUUUAAAGUAAGCCAUUUUAAGAGAUUGUUCUGUUCGAACAUAGAAC
This 305-nucleotide ribosomal RNA is filed under the name Partula cf. affinis. RNAcentral describes it as "partial 16S ribosomal RNA". Lineage: Eukaryota; Metazoa; Mollusca; Gastropoda; Stylommatophora; Partulidae. The record is from RNAcentral.